Molecule: ribosomal RNA, 437 nt
Filed under: uncultured bacterium
Lineage: Bacteria
Description: partial 16S ribosomal RNA
Rfam family: Bacterial small subunit ribosomal RNA
Source: RNAcentral
GAUGAACGCUGGCGGCAUGCCUAACACAUGCAAGUCGAACGGGACGUUCUGUUUUCGGUGGCGAACGGGGGGGUAACGCGUAAGAACUUGCCUUUGGGAGGGGAACAACAACUGGAAACGGUUGCUAAUACCCCGUAGGCUGCGGAGCAAAAGGAGGAAUCCGCCCAAGGAGGGGCUCGCGUGUGGUUCGCUUGGUGGGGAGGUGAUAGCUUACCAAGGCGAUGAUCAGUAGCUGGUCCGAGAGGGGGAGCAGACACACUGGGACUGAGACACGGCGCAGACUCUUACGGGAGACAGAAGUGGGGAAUAUACAGGAAUGGGGGAAAGCGUGACAGAGCGAUGCGGCGCGGGAGUGGAGAAGCUAUGGGGCGUCAAAUGCUUUUUUCGACGAAGAAACAAUGACGGUAGCGGGAGAAUAAGCACCGGCUAACUCCGUG